AACAUUCUGAAAUGGGGGGAAAUUGUAUCCAUUCAUUUUAUUUUAUUUUUUUCUGCAGAUUUGGAAGAGACAGUGUCUGUUGGGGAAGUCCUGGUGAGGGACAGAUGGCAUGCUCAAGUGUUUAUAAAGGUGAGGAUGGGGGCAGGGGACCCCCCAAGGAGAUGGAAGGUGGUGGCAGGGGGUCAUCACCACCCUGGCUCCAGUGAGUGGUUUCUAGGAUGCAGAGAACACGGCCGGGGCACACACACUGUGGCCAAAGUCUCCCUCUGAUAUCCUGGCCUGGAGCCUGGGGCUGUGCACAGGAGGACUGGACUAGAGGAUGUACUGGUUGCUUUGUCCUUGAAACCCUCACUUUUUCUUCUCCCAAGUUUGCUGCAAGUCUCAGUGGGAAGGAAGGUGGCCGGGGCUUGCUGAAAGAGAAAAAAGAAUCUCUUGUGAGAGUCUUUGCAAACAGUCCUUGGGCACCCCAGCCAGGCUUGGCCUGGACACAUACAUGCGCAGUGGACCAGCAGCUCUGCCAUCCUUCAGGACACAGACGGGAGUCGGCCCUCGAGUUGGAGAGUGGCAGUUGGCACAACAAAGUCUGUCACUGAUGGGCAUUUCCGAGAAGUGCAGAGGUGAUAAGAGUGCACCGAAUUGUCAGCGUGCGGGGAUUAGCAGGCUGGCACAUUUCCUCCUGCAGGCAGCCCUGCUCCGUGGCGCUCAGGACAUAAGGCAUUUCAGGAGAAGCAUCGUCUCCUAUGACUUUGGCAAGGUGAGGCCUUUCAGUAUCCAUAGAUACCACCUGCAGCCGGAACCCCUAGCUGAUUUAGAACCCAACCCCAUGGGUUACCUAGGUUGAUUCCAUGUUUUUGCUAUUAUGAAUAGUGCUGUGACGAAGAUUCACAUGGGUGUGUCUUUAUGUCUUUAUGGUAGAAUGAUUUAUAUUCUCCUGGGUAUAUACCCCAUAAUGGCAUUGCUGGAUCAUUCCCUGUGUUUUAUAUGUUUCAAUAGUUGCAACCACCCAAUGGCAGAACAACCGGCUGAAGAGGGCAGAGUUCGACAUUAUCAUCAACUGGGAGAAAAGAACUGGCUUGUUUUGACAAUAUACUUUAAUAAAUUCAAUUAAGUAGUCAAUAAAUAUUGAACUGAAUUGACCUGAAUAAUCUAAUAAUAAUCAAAGCUACUGUUUAUUGAGGAUUUAUUACGAGUCUGACACUUUAGCUACAUUUUUCUUCUAAUUCCCAUAGUUACCACAGGGAGAAGAAGUACUAUUAUUUCUCUCACCUUAUGGGUGAGAAAAUUGAAGUUCAGAGAGGCCAAGGGAAUUACCCAAGGACACACAGCCAGAAGGUGGUAGAACUGGGAUUUGAAUCAGUGUGGUCCAGCGCUCAUGUUCUAACCACACUCUUAAUGAUUUCUUUUCAUUUAAGCCUCAGUUUCCCUAGCUGUAGAAGGGGGAUCAUAGCAGUAUCAACCUCACAAGCUGGUGUGGUGGUAACUGCAGAAUUUCUCUGGGGCUCUUGAAAUGCCAGUAGAGCAGUUGGCUGCUGAUGGCAAGCCCCAGCCCGAGCUGGGCACUGGUCACUCUGGAUCCUCAGGGACCCUGCUCCUUUUGUGCGGAGCCUAGCAUUCCUAGAAAGCAGCCACUCUUUUCCCAUGGCCUUCCCUGGGUUUCCUUUGAAUGGCUGCUCCAUGCCUG
Molecule: long non-coding RNA, 1681 nt
Organism: Rhinopithecus bieti (black snub-nosed monkey)
Lineage: Eukaryota; Metazoa; Chordata; Mammalia; Primates; Cercopithecidae
Source: Ensembl